This 717-nucleotide ribosomal RNA is filed under the name Margalefidinium polykrikoides. RNAcentral's name for it is "LSU rRNA". It matches the Rfam family "Eukaryotic large subunit ribosomal RNA", at positions 43 to 658 of the family's 3401-position model. The record is from RNAcentral. Lineage: Eukaryota; Dinophyceae; Gymnodiniales; Gymnodiniaceae.
UAAGUAAGCGGAGGAAGAGAAACUAAAUAGGAUUCCCUCAGUAAUGGCGAACGAACAGGGAAGAGCUCAGAUUGGAUAUCGGGGCCUGUGGCUCCGAAUUGUAGUCUCGAAAUGCAAUGCCAUCGGGGGCGCAGAUUUAAGCCUCUUGGAAGAGAGCGCCGGCGAGGGUGAGAGUCCCGUUCGUCAAUUUGCAGUCCUCCGUACACGGCUUGCACUUGUUGAGUCACGUUCCUCGGGAUUGGAGCGCAAAUAGGGUGGUAAAUUUCAUCUAAAGCUAAAUAUAUGUUUGAGACCGAUAGCACACAAGUACCAUGAGGGAAAGAUGAAAAGGACUUUGAAAAGAGAGUUAAAAGUGCCUGAAAUUGCUGCAAGGGAAGCGGAUGGAACCAGUCCACGCGGUGAGAUUGUUGGGCGGAGGCGUGCGGGGUUGCACUUUCAACGAAAGUGGGGGUGUGAGUCUCAAUCGCCUUUCGCCUGAUGGUUCUUGCCGUGGGGGUCAUUGGUGAUUGGCAGCCGGGGAAACCUUCAAAGGCAUGGUAGCCCGUCUCCGGAUGGGUGAACGCGUUUGAUAGCACUCGGCCGCUGAUCAUAUCCGAGGUGUCCGGUAACUGGCGGCCUUGAGCGCAACGCGAGAACCAAAUCGGUUCUUGCUGCGCGUUCGGCCGUAGGUCCUGACACACAUCUACGACCAAAUGGUUCUUUCCGACCCGUCUUGAA